UGCAGUUGACGCUUCUUUCUUAUCGAACUUCGGUUCACCAAGNAAGAAGAGUAGCGAACGGGUGAGUAACACGUGGGUAACCUGCCCAUCAGCGGGGGAUAACACUUGGAAACAGGUGCUAAUACCGCAUAAUACUUUUUCUCUCAUGAGUGAAAGUUGAAAGGCGCUUUUGCGUCACUGAUGGAUGGACCCGCGGUGCAUUAGCUAGUUGGUAGGGUAACGGCCUACCAAGGCAACGAUGCAUAGCCGACCUGAGAGGGUGAUCGGCCACACUGGGACUGAGACACGGCCCAGACUCCUACGGGAGGCAGCAGUAGGGAAUCUUCGGCAAUGGACGAAAGUCUGACCGAGCAACGCCGCGUGAGUGAAGAAGGUUUUCGGAUCGUAAAACUCUGUUGUUAGAGAAGAACAAGGAUGAGAAGAGAAUGUUCAUCCCUUGACGGUAUCUAACCAGAAAGCCACGGCUAACUACGUGCCAGCAGCCGCGGUAAUACGUA
RNAcentral lists this ribosomal RNA (497 nucleotides) under Enterococcus sp. T1-34. RNAcentral's name for it is "bacterial SSU rRNA". It matches the Rfam family "Bacterial small subunit ribosomal RNA", at positions 56 to 529 of the family's 1533-position model. Lineage: Bacteria; Bacillati; Bacillota; Bacilli; Lactobacillales; Enterococcaceae. The record is from RNAcentral.